Molecule: long non-coding RNA, 527 nt
Filed under: Setaria viridis
Lineage: Eukaryota; Viridiplantae; Streptophyta; Magnoliopsida; Poales; Poaceae
Description: long non-coding RNA (SVIR_LNC001925)
Source: RNAcentral
GCCAUACAUCUGUGCUCUGUGAUCCAUCUUUAACAAGCUAUGACAACAAAUCUAUAUUAUAUUUACUAAUUUAAUGAGCUAUGGGUCGCAAUUCUAUAAAUUCAAUUAAAUUAUGGAUGUAUUAACUAAAAAGUAGAAAGAAAUAUAAUAAAAAUAAUUCUAUAUUACCCUAAAUGAAACUCAAUUAAACUACGGAUGUAAUAAUUAAUAAGUCGAAGGAAAAAAAUCAACCACAAUUAUAUAUUAAAUUCAAUCAAACUCAUUAAUUAAAACUAUGGAUGUAAUAAUUAAAUAGGAAAAAUAUAAUCAAACUCAAUUCUAUAUUACAUUAAAAUGACAAAUAUAGCACUGUAAUGGUUAUAAUAUAACCAUAGAAUUUUAUUUACAAAAAUAAUCCAUCUCUAGUUAUUUUCUCUCUCUUCCCUCCUUUCUCUUCUAGGUUUAGAUCUAGAUCUAGAUGACAACCUAAUGAAGCUAGAAAUGAUGGAUAGAAGUUGAAAAAGAAGGUUGGAAUGGCACAAACUUAC